RNAcentral lists this long non-coding RNA (292 nucleotides) under Heterocephalus glaber (naked mole-rat). Its description in RNAcentral is "lncRNA (ENSHGLG00100042281.1)". Lineage: Eukaryota; Metazoa; Chordata; Mammalia; Rodentia; Bathyergidae. The record is from RNAcentral.
GUCGCGUUGCCAUGGCAAGGCUCCGCGCGGGACCCGCCCCCGCGGUGCCUACAGAAGCAAGGAGUAGACUGACCAGCCUGAGGGGCGACCAAGCGAGGGGCUUGAUCGAGCGCCGGGUCUGCGAGGCUGCAGGUGAUGAGCAGGAUCCCCUGGAAAGAUGCUCCUUACAGGCACGGGGUACGCUGUCAGCUGCUUGAGUGUCUUACAACAUGGCAGCCCGUCUUCUCCAAUGUGAGUGUCCAGGAGAGAGCAAGAAGCUGCCUGGGCCUUAUGACCUGCCUCUGAAGGUUUG